This is a non-coding RNA of Labrus bergylta (ballan wrasse), 1419 nucleotides long. The record is from RefSeq and is a predicted model, not a curated record. Lineage: Eukaryota; Metazoa; Chordata; Actinopteri; Labriformes; Labridae.
ACAAGACCAACAACAAAACCACCAACGACAACAGCUGCUACUACAGACUGGCGUUGGUGGUUGAUCUUCGUGCCCGUGGUGGUUUUUAUAGUUCUGUUAGUGGUCGUUGUGAAAGUCAUCAGAUGGAAAGGAAACAGAACGCAGAUGGGUGACGAUGUUGCUGAUCCUGAAGGCGGGGUUUCCUACGCCUCCAUCAGAUACAACAAGAAGGGGAAAAGAGGAGCUCGGGUUUGUGCUAAAGACGAUGCUGACGAUGGUUCAGUGAUCUAUGCCUCCGUCAAAGCUUCUUCUUCUUCUACUGCUGCAGGAGCCUCUGCUGAUCCCAGCAUCCUCUACGCCACCAUCAACAAAGAGAAGAAAUAAGAAUCCAAAGUAAAGUUACAACUCAGGUUUUUUCAGCAUUCUACACUGAAAACUACGGCGCCCUACAAGGCUCAGGUAGGACUAAAAAAGCAAUUUGUAAAUCUUUUUUUCACGGUUCACAAAUCUGUGUGCACAGUUUAUUAACAGUGCCCAUGGAUUUGUAAACCGUGUGCAUGGAUUUGCAAUCUCCAGGCACACUUUCAGUUUAAGAAACCGUGCGCACUGUUUUGAAAUCUGUGGGCACCAUUUAGGAAUCUGUGCCCACAGAUUGUAAAUCAGUGUGCAUGGAUUUGUUGAAAUGAUCGACAGCUUUUUAUUUUUUGUCUCACCUGAGCCUUGCAGGGCUCAGUAGAAAACAGAUACUGAUAGAUGUGUUUGUAUGAGACUUUGUGUUGUUAACUUUCAAGAGUUAUUGCUUUAAGAUGCUUUUCCUUCAAAAGAGGGCGUUGUAGGUUUACUAGUAGCACAAAGACCUAGCAUAAUACCUCUGCAUGAAAUGUAAAUCUACGGAGAUCCUGAAGUCCCAAAAGUUAAAAAAAGAUAUUGGGCACACCAGUUAAUAUCUUGUGUGAACACGAUACUAACGAACCUUUGACUACAUGCUAGUGUGUGUGAGCGCUGACUGUUUCUUGUCUUAAUCCUUGCACACAGGAUAUUCACUUGUGAGCACAACAUAGCAUCUUGUGCACAAGUUAGAUGAUAACUCAAGUGCACAAGAUAUUUUUUUCCACUUUUGGGACUUCAGGGGCUCCGUAUGAACCAGCUUUUAAAAUAAGUUUAUAUACGCAGCAGGCACUUUGAUGUGCAUGUGUUAAGUUGUAGUUUCUCAUCACUGCUCAGAUCAUUCUGUAUGUACUGAGAGGUACAUGACUGAGAAGAGGAAGUGAGAUAACGAUCAUCUUGACUAAGUCACAUCCGAGAGUCUGUAGAAACCCAUAAAAGGCUAAAUCGACAGAGUGUGAACUUCAUGACAGAUAAAAGAAGGAGGAACCAGAAAGUGGGGUAAUAUACACUUUACUAAUAAGAGGAAGGUGAGGAAUAGUUCUCUUGAUGCAG